GGUUAAGCGACUAAGCGUACACGGUGGAUGCCCUGGCAGUCAGAGGCGAUGAAGGGCGUGCUAAUCUGCGAUAAGCGCCGGUAAGGUGAUAUGAACCGUUAUAACCGGCGAUACCCGAAUGGGGAAACCCAGUGUGAUUCGUCACACUAUCAUUAACUGAAUCCAUAGGUUAAUGAGGCGAACCGGGGGAACUGAAACAUCUAAGUACCCCGAGGAAAAGAAAUCAACCGAGAUUCCCCCAGUAGCGGCGAGCGAACGGGGAGGAGCCCAGAGCCUGAAUCAGCAUGUGUGUUAGUGGAAGCGUCUGGAAAGGCGCGCGAUACAGGGUGACAGCCCCGUACACAAAAGCGCAUGUGCUGUGAGCUCGAUGAGUAGGGCGGGACACGUGGUAUCCUGUCUGAAUAUGGGGGGACCAUCCUCCAAGGCUAAAUACUCCUGACUGACCGAUAGUGAACCAGUACCGUGAGGGAAAGGCGAAAAGAACCCCGGCGAGGGGAGUGAAAAAGAACCUGAAACCGUGUACGUACAAGCAGUGGGAGCCCCACCACUAAGCCAGUGGUGAACUCCACAUACGCAUCCUUUGCUGAGGAUACGGUUAACGGAGCGAAAGCGACGUUCAACCUCAAAAGAAGCAGAGGGGGCUUAGUGGUGGGGUGACUGCGUACCUUUUGUAUAAUGGGUCAGCGACUUAUAUUCUGUAGCAAGGUUAAC
Molecule: ribosomal RNA, 711 nt
Filed under: Salmonella enterica subsp. enterica serovar Dublin str. 0773
Lineage: Bacteria; Pseudomonadati; Pseudomonadota; Gammaproteobacteria; Enterobacterales; Enterobacteriaceae
Description: partial 23S ribosomal RNA
Rfam family: Bacterial large subunit ribosomal RNA
Source: RNAcentral